GACGAACGCUGGCGGCGUGCUUAACACAUGCAAGUCGAACGGAAAGGCCCUGCUUUUGUGGGGUGCUCGAGUGGCGAACGGGUGAGUAACACGUGAGUAACCUGCCCUUGACUUUGGGAUAACUUCAGGAAACUGGGGCUAAUACCGGAUAGGAGCUCCUGCUGCAUGGUGGGGGUUGGAAAGUUUCGGCGGUUGGGGAUGGACUCGCGGCUUAUCAGCUUGUUGGUGGGGUAGUGGCUUACCAAGGCUUUGACGGUUAGCCGGCCUGAGAGGGUGACCGGCCACAUUGGGACUGAGAUACGGCCCAGACUCCUACGGGAGGCAGCAGUGGGGAAUAUUGCACAAUGGGCGGAAGCCUGAUGCAGCAACGCCGCGUGCGGGAUGACGGCCUUCGGGUUGUAGACCGCUUUCGCCUGUGACGAAGCGUGAGUGACGGUAAUGGGUAAAGAAGCACCGGCUAACUACGUG
RNAcentral lists this ribosomal RNA (468 nucleotides) under uncultured bacterium. Its description in RNAcentral is "partial 16S ribosomal RNA". It matches the Rfam family "Bacterial small subunit ribosomal RNA", at positions 28 to 507 of the family's 1533-position model. The record is from RNAcentral.